AUGAGGAGACAUCAGCAUGUCACUUUCCUUGACACCCAACUACUGCCCCCAGAAGAGAUUCUUUCCAGGCUAAGAAAGACCCCACUGCCUAUCCAGCAGUGGGGCUCAGUAAGCCAUGAAGUGAUUUACAAACAUUGGCUACCAUGGUCUAUUACAGGUAGAAGCAACAGUGAAAAUCACGACGGUGAGAUCAAGCAAAGCAGAUGGACUGAAGGACAAGGACGACUCUGCCCAGCAGAGGGAGGGAAAGCCCGGGCUGGACUCCACGUGGCCGGAGCUCCCAGGAAGCAGAAGUUUGCUUGGUAAACUUGGAAUCGGAACCUGGGAAUUGGGCCACUGGGAUAUUCAAUGGCGUCAGACCGGUGUAGCUGAUACUCCUGGACAGAGGGGCUCUGCCAACUGGACAGAUGUGUGAAGUGUUGCUGACCGAGCUCCUUGCUCUGUGUGGGAGGGAGCUUGCCAGCUCCAGCCUCGUGGGUCUCCUUUUUCUAUUUCCAAGCUUAAAUAAGCACUUGGCUGUUCUGAUUAGCAUUUUUAAAAGCUGUGUUAAUAAGUUCAAUUAAAAUAGAAGAAUCUCUCAUUCUGUCAUAUCGGGGUUUUUUUUAAUUGCAAACCAAUAAAACUUAAAUGAACUUAAGCAAAAAAUAAUUUAUUGGAAGGAUAUGUGGGAGAUUGUACUAGGGUUCUCAAGAGAAACAGAGACUGAGGCAGAGAGAGAGACCAACUUUAACAAUGAUCUCACACAAUUGUGGGGGCUGGCAAGUCUGAAAUUUGGCCAGCAGGCUGAACAUUCAGGCGAGCUGAUGUUGCAGCUUGAGUCCAAACUCCACAGGACGGCAGGUUGGAAACUCAGGCAGGACUUCUGUGUUGCAGUUUCAAGAAUUCCUUCUUCGAUUUAUCUAUUUCCUCUCCAAUUUAAGUCCUGGAGGCUGGAAGUCUGAAAUCAAGGUGUCAACAGGGUUGGUUCCUUCCAAGGGCUCUGAGGGAAGGGUCUGUUCCAGGCCCCCUCUCCUUGGCUUGCAGACGGCAAUCUUCACCUUUAUGUGGCAUUUUCCCUGUAUAUGUGCGUGUGUCCACAUUUCCCCUUUCUAUAAGAACACCGGCCAUAUUGGAUCAGGAGCCCACUUACUGUUAACUAAUUACAUCUGCAAUGAUCCUAGUUCUAAACAAGGUCACAUUCUGAGGUACUGGGGUUAGAACUUCCACAUAUGAGUUUCGAGGGAACCAUCUUAGUUUGUUCAGGCUGCUAUAAUAAGACAUCAUAAAUUGAGUAGCUUAUAAAUAGCAGACAAUUAUUUCUUGCAGUUCCGGAGGCUGGGAAGUCCAAGAACAAGGUGCUGGCGGAUAUGGCUGGUGAGGGUCUGCUUUCUGGCUCAUACGUGGCACCUUCUACCUGUGUCCACACUUAGCGGAAGGGGGCAUGGAGGAGCUCCCUUGGCCCUCUUUGAUAAGGGCACUAACCCCAUUCACAAGGGCUCCACCCUCUUGACCUAAUCACCUCCUGAAGGCCCCACCCCCUAAUACCAUCACAUUGGAGGAUAAGAUUUCAACAUAUUAAUUUAAACAUUCAGAGCACAGCAAGACAAAUUAAACCAUAACGGGCCCAGGUGUGGUGGUUCACGCCUGUCACCCUGCACUUUGGGAGACCAAGGCAGGCAGAUCAUCAGAGAUCAGGAGUUCUGGGCAUAGUGGCAGGCGCCUGUCAUCCCAGCUACUUGGGAGGCUGAGACAGGAGAAUUGCUUGAACUCGGGAGGUGGAGGUUGCAGUGAGCCGAGAUCGCACCACUGCACUCCAGCCUGGAUGACAAGAGCGAAACUCCGUCUAAAAAAAAAAAAAAAAUUAGCUGGGUGUGGUGGUGCGCACCUGUAAUCCCAGCUACUCAGAAGGCUGAGGCAGAAGAAUUACUUGAACCCAGGAGGCAGAGUUUGCAGUGAGCUGAGAUCACGCCAUUGCACUCCAGCCUGGACAAAAAGAGCGAAACUCCAUCUCAAAACAAAAAACAAAAAACAAAAAACCAUAACGGAACAUAAUUCAAAUAAUAACAGAAACCAAGUUCAGAGGAGGGUGGAACUCAGGCUUGGGCAUGG
RNAcentral lists this long non-coding RNA (2088 nucleotides) under Macaca mulatta (Rhesus monkey). RNAcentral's name for it is "lncRNA (ENSMMUG00000058212.1)". Lineage: Eukaryota; Metazoa; Chordata; Mammalia; Primates; Cercopithecidae. The record is from RNAcentral.